UCAACAUUUUCACCCUAUAAAUUCGAGCAUUGCGUGCAGUGUUUCUCCAACAAGUUCUGUUGCCCUGGUUGCAGUGCUUGUUUCAUUUUGCCUGCCAAAUUUUGUUUGGUGUGCUACCCUCCUGCUCAAGUUCCAGGCCAAAUUUUGUUUGGUGUGCUGCCUCCUGCUCAAGUUCGAGACCAAAGCUUGUUUGGUGUGCUGCCUCCUCCCCAAAGUUUCCUACUAGACCUGCUGAGAUGCCUCGCUGUGGAAUUUGUGGAUGAACAUCUGGACCUGUCAUCAUAUCCUGGAGAUCAUGCAUUGUACAGUGACAAAAAUAAGGGUAAGUUGUUUAGAUUCAAGUGUGAGACUGGUGGUCGUAUAAUUGAGGAGGUAGUUGCUCUAAAGGCUAAAAUGUAUUCGAUAAAGUUGGUUGGUGAUGAUCAAAUAGCUAGAGCAAAAGGAGUGAAGAAGGAUAUACUUCGCAAGCAUUUGCUUCAUGAUGUGUACAAAAAUGUGUUGUUCAAUAGUGAAAAGGUAUCUCAUGUGCAAAGAUCAAUAUGUAGCAAACGUCAGUGCAUGUAUACCUUGGAGAAUACCAAGCUUGCUCUCAUGCCCUAUGAUGAUAAACGUUAUCAAUUCAAUGCCAUCGAUUCAUACCCUUAUGGAAGCUGCCAAAUCAAUGAAGAAAAUGUGUGAGUAUGUUCCAUUCUCAUGUCUUAAUUGCCAUCCUGUAGCAUCUUUGUUGUCUUGUAUGUUUCUUCUGUUUCAGGUGUGAAGGUUUUUCCGCUGGGUUUUCUCCUUCACACAGAUUGGCAACAUAAUUGGCAACAUAAUUGGCAAUCCCCAGCACCAUUGGCUUUAAUUGGCAUUACUAAGCAUCAUUGACUUUAAUUGGCAUUAAUAAAAUAUUUUUCACUUGUACAAAUGUGUAUGUCUAUUGCUUG
Ornithodoros turicata is the source of this 926-nucleotide long non-coding RNA. RefSeq lists it as uncharacterized. The record is from RefSeq and is a predicted model, not a curated record. The transcript has 3 exons. Lineage: Eukaryota; Metazoa; Arthropoda; Arachnida; Ixodida; Argasidae.